This 301-nucleotide ribosomal RNA is filed under the name uncultured bacterium. Its description in RNAcentral is "partial 16S ribosomal RNA". It matches the Rfam family "Bacterial small subunit ribosomal RNA", at positions 509 to 809 of the family's 1533-position model. The record is from RNAcentral.
CAGCCGCCACGGUAAUACGGAGGGUGCAAGCGUUAAUCGGAAUUACUGGGCGUAAAGCGCACGCAGGCGGUCUGACAAGUCAGAUGUGAAAUCCCCGGGCUUAACCUGGGAACUGCAUUUGAAACUGUCAGGCUGGAGUCUUGUAGAGGGGGGUGGAAUUCCAGGUGUAGCGGUGAAAUGCGUAGAGAUCUGGAGGAAUACCGGUGGCGAAGGCGGCCCCCUGGACAAAGACUGACGCUCAGGUGCGAAAGCGUGGGGAGCAAACAGGAUUAGAUAUCCCGGUACUCCCUGUCUCUUAUAA